GGGAGGAGGGCCUCGGUGCUGGAAAGGGGUAUGGAUUCUGUUGUCUUGGCAACAUUCUUCUUCAUAUCGGCACUGGGUCACUCAGCUCA
Molecule: microRNA precursor, 89 nt
Filed under: Chlorocebus sabaeus (green monkey)
Lineage: Eukaryota; Metazoa; Chordata; Mammalia; Primates; Cercopithecidae
Description: miRNA (ENSCSAG00000022511.1)
Source: RNAcentral